Molecule: ribosomal RNA, 465 nt
Filed under: uncultured bacterium
Lineage: Bacteria
Description: partial 16S ribosomal RNA
Rfam family: Bacterial small subunit ribosomal RNA
Source: RNAcentral
GACAAACGCUGGCGGCGUGCUUAACACAUGCAAGUCGAACGGAAAGGCCCCUUUGGGGGUACUCGAGUGGCGAACGGGUGAGUAACACGUGAGUAACCUGCCCUUGACUUCGGGAUAACUUCAGGAAACUGGGGCUAAUACCGGAUAGGAAUCCUUGCUGCAUGGUGGGGGUUGGAAAGCUUCGGCGGUUUUGGAUGGACUCGCGGCUUAUCAGCUUGUUGGUGGGGUAGUGGCUUACCAAGGCUUUGACGGGUAGCCGGCCUGAGAGGGCGACCGGCCACAUUGGGACUGAGAUACGGCCCAGACUCCUACGGGAGGCAGCAGUGGGGAAUAUUGCACAAUGGGCGGAAGCCUGAUGCAGCAACGCCGCGUGCGGGAUGACGGCCUUCGGGUUGUAAACCGCUUUCAGCAGGGGCGAAGCUUGUGGUGACGGUACCUGCAGAAGAAGCACCGGCUAACUACGUG